CGGGGCUCACCUCUUCCCAUCCCGAACAGAGAAGUUAAGCCCGCCUGCGCAGAUGGUACUGCAAUUUUGUGGGAGAGUAUGUCGUCGCCUUUC
This 93-nucleotide ribosomal RNA is filed under the name Flavobacterium sp. The record is from RNAcentral. RNAcentral also lists the same sequence under 1 other name. Lineage: Bacteria; Pseudomonadati; Bacteroidota; Flavobacteriia; Flavobacteriales; Flavobacteriaceae.